RNAcentral lists this ribosomal RNA (778 nucleotides) under uncultured archaeon. Its description in RNAcentral is "bacterial SSU rRNA". It matches the Rfam family "Archaeal small subunit ribosomal RNA", at positions 19 to 799 of the family's 1478-position model. The record is from RNAcentral.
AGAGGCUACUGCUAUCGGGGUUCGAUUAAGCCAUGCGAGUUAAAUGUUCUUCGUGAACAUAGCGAACUGCUCAGUAACACGUGGAUAACUUACCCUUAGGACCGGAAUAACCCCGGGAAGCUGGGGAUAAUACCGGAUAAGCCAUAGACGCUGGAAUGCCCUAUGGUUCAAAGCUCCGGCGCCUAAGGAUGGAUCUGCGGUCUAUCAGGUUGUAGUGGGUGUAACGUACCUACUAGCCGACGACGGAUACGGGUUGUGAGAGCAAGAGCCCGGAGAUGGAUUCUGAGACACGAAUCCAGGCCCUACGGGGUGCAGCAGGCGCGAACACUUUACAAUGCGGGAAACCGCGAUAAGGGAACCCCGAGUGCCAGCAUCAAAUGUUGGCUGUCCAGAUGAUUAAAAAUCAUUUGUUAGCAAGGGCCGGGCAAGACCGGUGCCAGCCGCCGCGGUAACACCGGCGGCCCGAGUGGUAGCCGUUUUUAUUGGGUCUAAAGGGUCCGUAGCCGGCUUGAUAAGUCCUUUGGGAAAUCUGGCAGCUUAACUGUCAGGCUUCUAAGGGAUACUGUCAGGCUUGGGACCGGAAGAGGUAAGGGGUACUCCAGGGGUAGGAGUGAAAUCUUGUAAUCCCUGGGGGANCAUCUGUGGCGAANGCGCCUUACCAGAACGGGUCCGACGGUGAGGGACGAAAGCUAGGGGAGCAAACCGGAUUAGAUACCCGGGUAGUCCUAGCUGUAAACGAUGCUCGCUAGGUGUCAGANACGGUGCGACNNUGUUUGGU